GGGGGUAUAGCUCAGCUGGGAGAGCGCUUGCAUGGCAUGCAAGAGGUCAGCAGUUCGAUCCUGCUUAUCUCCA
Molecule: transfer RNA, 73 nt
Organism: Betaproteobacteria bacterium
Lineage: Bacteria; Pseudomonadati; Pseudomonadota; Betaproteobacteria
Rfam family: tRNA
About the family: Transfer RNA (tRNA) molecules are approximately 80 nucleotides in length. Their secondary structure includes four short double-helical elements and three loops (D, anti-codon, and T loops). Further hydrogen bonds mediate the characteristic L-shaped molecular structure. tRNAs have two regions of fundamental functional importance: the anti-codon, which is responsible for specific mRNA codon recognition, and the 3' end, to which the tRNAs corresponding amino acid is attached (by aminoacyl-tRNA synthetases). tRNAs cope with the degeneracy of the genetic code in two manners: having more than one tRNA (with a specific anti-codon) for a particular amino acid; and 'wobble' base-pairing, i.e. permitting non-standard base-pairing at the 3rd anti-codon position.
Source: Rfam